This 203-nucleotide long non-coding RNA is filed under the name Ricinus communis (castor bean). RNAcentral describes it as "long non-coding RNA (RCOM_LNC000977)". The record is from RNAcentral. Lineage: Eukaryota; Viridiplantae; Streptophyta; Magnoliopsida; Malpighiales; Euphorbiaceae.
AGAAGUUUAAGCUUCAUUAAUAGCAAUUAAUGUCACUAUCUUCAAGGCGUUGUUAUCUUCAUUAAAAGCACCAUCAUUAGCCAUCUUCAAAACAUGCUCCAAGUAAGAAUUUAAGGCUUGCUUGAACUUUUACUCCUUGCUCGUGUCAUUGGUCCUUCAUAGGCUAGUGGAUCCAUGCUAGUUGACUUAGAUGCAUCCUUGGU